UGGAAUUUCAUUUCUUCCACUAAAGCGUUUGCGGAGACUUCAAGAAAAGAAAAAGAAAAAAAUGUCAUUAGAAGAGGCGUAACACGUCAGUCCGUCCCCAGGUUUGUGUUUCCUGGAGUGGCCGAAAGAGAUCAGUUCUAACCUGCUCCGCAGGAAUAACGGUCCUGCCUCCCGACACUCUUGGCGAGGUUUUGUACAGUUUGCUCCGGGAGCUGUUUCUUCGCUUCCACCUUUUUCUCCCCCACACUUCGCGGCUUCUUCAUGCUUUUUCUUCUCACCAUUUCUGGCCAAAACUACAAACAAGACUUCGCAGGUAGGUUUUUUUCCCCUUUUCUCUCUUUUUAUUCCUUUUUGGUAUGGUCAGCCCCCACCCUCCUUUUAUGAUUUUUCUCCUUUUAAGUGGGGAUGUGAGUCUGAAGUGAGAAGGAGUGUCUGUGGGCAGGAAUUUCAGGUGGGUUUAGCUCCUUUAUGGCAAGCUUUUCCCAAGAGUGACUUCUUCGAUUUCUCUGGCACUCCCGUUCUCUCUCCUUCCUUUUCUCUUCUUUUUCCUCCCCCAAAUAAUUUGCCCUGUACCUGUCCAUUCAGGUAACCAAAGGUGCCUUUUGCUACCCACCCUAGGAAAAGUUUUAUUGAGAACUACAUGGUGGAAUGAAAACUCUUCAAGGGGAGAGAUUCUGCUCUAUUUUUGCAUCUAGUCCCAAUUCAUUGUAUUCAGCAAUUAGAACUUGGCAAAUACCUGUUAAUAAUUACAAAACUUGAUUGAUAAAAACCUACCAAAUUCAGGGGCAAGUCUUUCUCUUAGAUAUGGCAGUGCAUCCUCUCCCACCGGAGAAGGCUGUUUUCUAAGCAGAAAGUUGCCUGUUUUUGUCUGCUUAGCGAGUUUCAUUUCUUUAUUUUAUUCUUUGUGUGUGUAUGUAUGUGAAGUAACACCUCACUUCUGUGAUGAUAAAUAAAGAAGUGAAAGUCCUCAUG
Molecule: long non-coding RNA, 972 nt
Organism: Ailuropoda melanoleuca (giant panda)
Lineage: Eukaryota; Metazoa; Chordata; Mammalia; Carnivora; Ursidae
Exons: 2
Source: RefSeq, a predicted model, not a curated record